CCCCUAGAUGUCCUGGGCCGCACGCGCGUUACACUGAUGCAUUCAACGAGCUUAUAACCUUGGCCGAGAGGCCUGGGCAAUCUUGUUAACGUGCAUCGUGAUAGGGAUAGAUUAUUGAAAUUAUUAAUCUUGAACGAGGAAUUCCUAGUAAACGCAGAUCAUCAAUCUGCAUUGAUUACGUCCCUGCCCUUUGUACACACCGCCCGUCGCACCUACCGAUUGGAUGGUCCGGUGAAGCCUCGGGAUUGUGGUUCUUGCCGCUUUAUUGUGGCGUGACCGCGAGAACUUGUCUAAACCUUAUCAUCUAGAGGAAGGUGAANUCGUANCA
RNAcentral lists this ribosomal RNA (328 nucleotides) under uncultured eukaryote. Its description in RNAcentral is "partial 18S ribosomal RNA". It matches the Rfam family "Eukaryotic small subunit ribosomal RNA", at positions 1470 to 1796 of the family's 1831-position model. The record is from RNAcentral.